AGUCCUCGCAGGCCGAGGCCGCCGGGCUCCGCGCGCAGCUGUCCGAGUGCCGGUGGGAGCUGCGCGCCUCGCGGAGGGACCUGCAGGAGCGCGCACGGGACCAGGCGCGCACGCGAGAGGCCCUCGGGCUGGAGGCGUCCGCGGGGCUCCUGGGAAGCCAGCAGCUGGAGGAGAAGGUCUCGGAGCUCAGGAAGGAGCUGGCCUCGGCCCGGGAGGCACUGAGCGCCGCCCAGCUGCAGAGGGACGUUGUGGAGAGCGAGAGGGAGGGCCUACGUGGAGCUCUGGCUCGGGCCGAGUCCAGCAAUGCUGACCUAGAACUGCUCGUGGGGAGGCUGAGGUCAGAGGGCGUGGAGCAAAGGGACUCCCUGGCCCAGAUGGCUGCCCUGCUGGAAGGGCUGGCUCAGGACAAGGGCACCCUGAACCACCUGGUCCUGCAGGUGAGGUGAGGGCCCAGUGGGUGGGCCCUGCCUUGGGCCUCAGUUUCCCCCAGGGUAGCUGUGAGAGACUCUGUCCCAGCACUAGGUCUCCCAGGCCCAGGCCCCUCCUUCCACCCAUCCUCCCAGAUCUUUCCUGGACUGACCCCCCCUUCCCCCACCAGCAAGGAGCGGGUUUGGGGGGAGGGGCAAGGGAGCCUGUGGCCCCAGCCAGGCCUAGGGGGUGUAGAUCUGGAUGGGAGUGGCCAGCCCAUGGGGGUGGGGGUGCGUGGGCUGGAUGCUGAGCCCUCCUGCCCCGCCGACCCCCGCCCCCUGGCAGCUGGAGCAGGAGCGGGACCAGCUGCGGGCGCAGCGGACGGAGCUGCAGCAGGACUGGGCCAGCGCCCGGGAGCAGCUGACGCAGGCAGAGCAGCGGCUGGCGCAGGUGCGGGCUGAGCACCGGGGUCUGCAGCAGGCCUGCAGGCACCUGGAGCAGCAGCAGGAGCAGCUGGAGGGGCGGGCGGCCCAGCUCGGGCGCGAGAAGGCCCAGCUCCAGGAGCAGGUGGGCCAGCUCACACGCAAGACACGGGCCCUGGAGGAGCAGCUGGCGCGGAGCCUGCAGGACCAGGAGACCCAGCUGGACGCUCUGCAGCGAGCCCUGCAGGAGAAGGACGCCCUGUCCGCGCAGCGGGCCCAGCUGCUGGCCGAGCAGGAGGCCGUAGAGAGGCAGGGCCAGCUCGAGGCCAAGGAGGCGGCCGACCUCAGGGCCGAGAGGGACUCCCUGGAGAGCCGCCUCUUUGAGGCCCAGCAGCUGGCGACGCAGCUGCAGGUGCAGCAGGAGCGGCUGGCGGGAGAGGCCCGGAGUGCCCGGCUGGCUCAGCGCAACUCGCAAGCGGAAGCGGAGCAGCUGAGAAGCGAGUGGGAGGCCCAGGAGGCGCAGCUGCGGCAGGUGGCGAGGCAGGAGCGGGAGGCGCAGGGGGCCCUGGAGCGCCAGGCGCUGGCCCAGCUCGAGGACCUGGCGCAGCUGCAGAGGGAGAAGGAAACCCUGAGUCUGGCCCUGGCGGAGGAGAAGGAGGCGGCCGAGUUCCAGCGGCAGCAGGAGAAGGAGCUGGCGGCCAGAAGCGCAUCCGAGAGGGAGGCUCUGAAAGAGGAAAUUCGGAGCCUGAAGCAGGAGCGGGAUGAGAGCCGCCUCCAGCUGGAGCAGGAGAUGCAACAGGCGCUGUCUCUGAAGGAAGCCCAGCUCGGCCUGCUCAGCAAGGAGCUCUCCAAGGCUGACCGCGAGCGGGAGCAGGUGCAGCAGGAGGCCCAGAGCCGGCAGGAGCAGGCGGAGGCCACCAUCCGCGCCACGGCGGAGGAGCUGAAGGCCCUGCAGGCCCAGUUUGAGGGAGCCAUCGCUGCCCACCAGAGGGAGGCCGCUCCCAGGCACCCCGAGGGGCAGGCCGGGCGCCGGAGAGGAAGGGAACAUGAUUUAACAUGACGGGCUGUUUAUGUUGGCCCCGGAGAGAAAGGUCUCCUUUCAACAGAUUUCAAAGUCAGGCC
This is a long non-coding RNA of Microcebus murinus (gray mouse lemur), 1952 nucleotides long. Lineage: Eukaryota; Metazoa; Chordata; Mammalia; Primates; Cheirogaleidae. The record is from Ensembl.